Molecule: long non-coding RNA, 3063 nt
Filed under: Sus scrofa (pig)
Lineage: Eukaryota; Metazoa; Chordata; Mammalia; Artiodactyla; Suidae
Description: lncRNA (ENSSSCG00065047601.1)
Source: RNAcentral
AAAUCUGUAUUACCCUGCUCCUCAAUAGCUGCCUUGUCUGUGUGCACCUUGCGUGGAAAAGCAGAAAAGUGAUGGGGGAAAUGGACCUGAGUUUAGAGUCCCUGCUCCUUCAGAUUGUGGGUAACAUUUGCAUGACAAUGGGAUUAUCAGCUCUUCUGGAAACAGUGGUGAUAUCUGUAUGUCUACGUAAUGUCUAUAAAGCCUGCUGGGGACUUCCAAAGAAUGAAAAGCAAAAGUUUCCAAAGAAGACCAGGAUUUACCAAACAAGAUCACAGGAUGGCAUAGAGUUUCACCUUAAUUUAAAUUUUUAUUAUUAUAAUUCACGUGUAAGUGAGAUCAUAAAAUGUUUGUCUUUCUCUGCUGGCUUAUUUCACUUAGUGUAAUGCCCUCAAGGCCCAUCCAUGCUGUCACAGAUGGUAGAAUUUCCUUUUUCUCAUGGCUGAGUAGUAUUAAAGUUAUAUAUAGUCGCCACAUUUUUCUUAUCCAUUUAUUUGUUGAUGAACACUUUGGUUUUUUCCAUAUCUUGGCUAUUGUGAAUAAUGCUACAGUGAACAUGCGGUGGGUACAAAUAUCUCUUUGAGAUAGUGAUUUCAUUUCCUUGGGACAUAUGCUCAGAAGUGGGAUUACUGGAUUGUAUGGUAGUUCUAUUUUUAUUUUUUUUGUCUUUUUGCUAUUUCUUUGGGCCGCUCCCGCAGCAUAUGGAGGUUCCCAGGUUAGGGGUCGAAUUGGAGCUGUAACCACUGGCCUACGCCAGAGCCACAGCAACGGGGGAUCCGAGCCUCGUCUGCAACCUACACCACAGCUCACAGCAACGCCGGAUCGUUAACCCACUGAGCAAGGGCAGGGACCGAACCCGCAACCUCAUGGUUCCUAGUCGGAUUCGUUAACCACUGCGCGACGAUGGGAACUCCUAUUUUUAAUUUUUUGAGAAAGAACUCCCCAUACUGUUUUCCAUAAGGGCUGUAUCAAUCUACAUUUCCACCCACAGGGCACGAGGGUUCCUUUUUCUUCUCAUGCUCACCAACACUUGUUAUUUGUUGACUUUUUGAUGGUAGUUGCUCUAAACAUGUUUCAGGUGAUAGGUCAUUGUGGUUUUGAUUUGUGUUUCCCUGAUGACUAGUAAGGUUAAUCAUCUUUUCAUAUAUCUGUCGGCCACUGGAAUAUCUUCUUUGUAAAACUGUCUAUUCAGUUCCUCUGCCCAUUUUAAAAUCAGAUUGUUGUUAUUUGUUUUGCUGUUGAGUUGUAUGGGUUCCUUAUGUGCUUUAAAUAUUAAUCCCUUAUCAGAUCUAUGAUUUGCAAAUAUUUUAUCAUCUUCCAUAGGUUGCCCUUUCAUUUUGUUGGUGGUUUUCUUUACUGUGCAAAAGUAAGGACUUUGGAUUUUGAAGUAAAGUCUCUGGAUUUUGAUCUCAGUGAAAUGAGGAGUCAUUGCAGAUUUCUGAGGAAAGAGACAGGAUGAUUCACAUUUUAACAGGAUCUCUCUGGUUUCAGUGAAUAGACUGUGGGGACAAGAGUAGCAGUUUUUUCCUGCAGGAAAUACCCACUUCACGGCAGUAAUCCAGUUGAAAGAGAAGGGGAUUAGAUUAAGGCGGUCACAUGAGGACAGGUGGGAAGUGGUUGAAAUAUGAAUAUAUAUUUGAAGCCUACAAUAUAUAAUAAUAGAUGUGGGGUAUGAAAGAAAGACAGAAAUCAAGGCUGACUCCAAGGCUUGGGGCCUGAACAGCUGGAAGGAUGGGUUUCCCCAUUUUCUCAACUGUAAGUUGGUGAUGCUGCUGCUGCAUCAAGUAAUGAUCAAAUGAAUCAAAUAAUGAUCAGAUGAUCAAAUGAUAAUCAAAUGGAUUAUUGAGAGACUUUGAGUGGACUCAUUAACUAGUGAUGCCAUUUUAGAUUCCUUGGACAGAAGGUACCUCUUCAGGAAUUGUGACUCUCAACUGUUCACCUAGACAUAGAUGCAUUUCCCUAUCAUAUUGUGGAGUUUUUUUUUUUUUUUAAAGAUUUGAAGCUUCUUAAAUGUUCCUAUCUUAAUACAUAGAUAGUAUUUGUAGAUUACUAUAUGUCAUGCACUUAGCUAAGCCUGUCACAUACAUUUCAUUUAAUCCUUAAAGCAAGCCUGUGAAAAAGACCCUAAUUAUUCUUACUUUGUAGAUAAGAAAACUGAAGUUCAGUGAGACUAAAAGGAAUAUUGCCCAUAAUCACUCAGUUCAUAUGUGGUAGAACCACAGUUUAAACCAAGGUGUAUCUAAUUCUAAAGUUUUCUCUUAACUCUUGACACUCUACUGCCUCCUUUUUCCCCCUCAAAAACCACUUCCCUUUUUUAUUGCUCAAAAACCACAAGUCUCUCUCUCAUUGAUCAGGGUUCCAUCACCUCUUUAUAGUGAAAAAUUCUUUUAAAUCUUCUCUAUAGCCUCAAGAUCUUGAAAUAUAAAGGUGAUGGAGGUCUUUUUAUCUUUAAUAGGAGUUACAAAAUUUUUUCCAACUGGUUGUUUAUCUUGAUUUUAUGGUAUUUUUUCAUGAAAAAAUUUAUUUUAAAAAAUCACCUUGUAGAUCUUUUUUUCUUCUUCUUCCUCUUUGGUUUUUAGGGCCGCACUAGUGGCAUAUGGAAGUUCCUAGGCUAGGGGUUGAAUUGUAGCUUUAGCUUCUGGCCUGCAUCACUGCCACAGCAGUGCCCAGAUCCAAGCUGCGUCUGUGACCUACACUACAACUCACAGCAACAUCGAAUCUUUAACCCUGUGUGGAAGGUCGGGGAUCGAAGCCGCAUCCUCACAGAUACCAGACAGAUUUGUUUCCACUGUGCCCCAAUGGUAACUCCUGUAGAUCCUUUUCUGUAGGGGUGGGGGCGUAAUGUCAUAUUUAGAAAGCUGUCUGAAUGAUAAGAGUAUGAACUAUUUUCUGGACUUCACAUUGUGGCUCAGGAGUAACGAGCCCCCAGCUAGUAUCCAUGAGAAUUUGGGUUCGAUCCCCGGCCUCACUCAGUGGGUUAAGGAUCCAGUGUUGCUGUGAGCUGUGGCACAGGCCGGCAGCUGCAGCUCCGAUGCAGCUCCUAGCCUGGGAACUUCCAUAUGCCGC